Long non-coding RNA from Amphibalanus amphitrite, 684 nucleotides. RefSeq lists it as uncharacterized. NCBI's taxonomy places the organism in Eukaryota, Metazoa, Arthropoda, Thecostraca, Balanomorpha, Balanidae. The record is from RefSeq and is a predicted model, not a curated record. The transcript is spliced from 2 exons.
CGCUCACUAGCUGUCAGUGUGGAAGAGUCACCAUGAGAGCUCUCUCUAUAUUUGCUGUGCUCUCGCUGCUGACUUUCCCGUGCAUCGGUCAGAGAGCUUCAGGUUCAAAUGCCACCAGCAGCACAAUCAUUUUACGAUUUGAGCUGUGUCAGAACAGCAGCGCGUGCGGCAAGUGGGAGCGCUGCUGCUGGUCCAGAGAGGGCUGCUCCUGCGCCAGAUACUGUUCGCUGACGUGCAGUGAUUACGGAAAACUAAGCCAGCGCACGUGAUCAAGAUUCGGACAGACUGAUGUUCCAUGUCACCCAUAUCGAUGUUGAGCAUGAAAUUCAUAACAUGUUCAAUAUGCGUGGCAAUCAUAAUGGUACGGUAGCUAGGCAAUAGCCAUACCUAUCUACGAUGUAUCGUAGAUAGGUAGCUAUAGCUGCCGUGCCCGUGGAAACGCCAGUUAUAGGUAUACGGCGAUCAAAGGAGCACAUGGAGACGUUUCUGCUACUUUUAGAUACCUAAGCUAGCAUAAAAAUAAAUUGUGCUAAACUCAGCUGACGUAUUUUCGUGAUUUUACUUGCUUGCUGUAUGUACGGCGUACGUUCAUGGGUGGAGAAUGUUUGAAAAAGUUACCCCGGCCGGCGACCGAUAGUCGGAAAGACGACUAAGAUCAUAAAUAAACCCCUAUUCUGACCCAUG